This 444-nucleotide ribosomal RNA is filed under the name uncultured bacterium. RNAcentral describes it as "SSU rRNA". It matches the Rfam family "Bacterial small subunit ribosomal RNA", at positions 26 to 518 of the family's 1533-position model. The record is from RNAcentral.
AGGAUGAACGCUGGCGGCACGCCUAACACAUGCAAGUCGAGCGCCCAGCAAUGGGAGCGGCGGACGGGUGAGUAACACGUGGGAAUAUGCCUUUCGGUACGGAACAACUCAGGGAAACUUGAGCUAAUGCCGUAUACGCCCUUACGGGGAAAGAUUUAUCGCCGAAAGAUUAGCCCGCGUCUGAUUAGCUAGUUGGUGAGGUAAUGGCUCACCAAGGCUUCGAUCAGUAGCUGGUUUGAGAGAACGACCAGCCACACUGGGACUGAGACACGGUCCAGACUCCUACGGGAGGCAGCAGUGGGGAAUCUUGGACAAUGGGGGAAACCCUGAUCCAGCGAUGCCGCGUGAGUGAUGAAGGCCUUCGGGUUGUAAAACUCUUUCGACGGGGACGAUAAUGACGGUACCCGUAGAAGAAGCUCCGGCUAACUUCGUGCCAGCAGCCGC